Molecule: non-coding RNA, 3750 nt
Organism: Vicugna pacos (alpaca)
Lineage: Eukaryota; Metazoa; Chordata; Mammalia; Artiodactyla; Camelidae
Source: RefSeq, a predicted model, not a curated record
ACAGGAACAUACCAGGAAAAUGACCCUCCAAGGGCCAGGUGGUGGACAGAACUCCAAGGUCCUCCCCUAGAGUGGCGGGAGGGGAGACUGUGGUGGGGUAGUCCUUUGCACCCACACAACAGAGGUGCGGGGCUGUCACUCGCAGAGACCGAGUUUCCCUCAUAGCCGAGUAGUCAGCUUCUCCCACCAGCCAUGCGGUGAAAGGGCUCAUGGAGGCGACUGUGUGGCCAAAACCUGAGGCUGCAGCCCCACCCACUUCAUUCAUCAAGAAGAAAACGGCCCUUGGUCCUAUAACUGCGAGGAACGGGUUCUGCCAGCCACCCAGCUGGGCCUGGAAGAGGACCGCAGGUGAGGACACAGCCCUGGCUGACACGGGUCUGACCCCGUGAGACCCUGGGUGGAGCUCCCGGUAAACGCACGUCCAGAGCCUGACCCAUGGAAGCUGUGUGGUAACGAGCCUGCUGUGUGAAGCUGCUAAAUUUGUGUUGACUUUUCAUGCUGCCAACAGGAGACAGACACAACUGCUUCCCAGGACAAAGCAAGGGCAGGACUUAAAAAGACAAAAGCACAAGUCUUACAAGGAAAGGGACUGGUGUCUCAGCUGAGGAUUGGCUUGUGGGCAGACUGCUGAGUCACAGCUCCCCUCAGGUUUCUCCAGAACCGUGCCGAUCCACUGUCACUGUGAGGCGGAGGCCAGAGGGCGGAGCUGCCCCACAGACCAGAGCACCCGCGAUCCACCCUCACACUGCUGUCUUCCCAGAGGUGGUCACUUGCGCAUGUGUUAGUCCUUCUUCGGGAGUCCUGGUGGUCUGCUACGGCACUGUCUCACUCCAUGGGCCAGGGGACUCCAGAUCCCAUGUCUGAUGGUCUGUGCGUCCCGAGGGGGCUCUCAGCCCUGCUGGUGGAGGCCCACAAGUCAGAUGACACGCUGAGAUGGGGCUGAGAGACCACUGAUGCAUCGAGACAGUGAUUUGAAAAUACAGACAAGAACACUUGGAAACACAGAAGCAUUAUUUCAUGGACCAGGCAACCCCUUCACCCUGAGAAACCAUCAAGAACCCAAGACCAAGGAUUUUAGCAGUCAUGGUCAAACCCUCGGCAAGCGGUUUCCUGCGUGGUGUCUUUGACGGGAACAGGCACACCUCACUUUACUGCGCUUCACAGAUGAUGCAUUUUUACAAACUGAAGGUCUGUGGUGACCCUGCGUCAGGCAAGCCCACCAGUGCCGUUUUCCCAACAGCACUUGCUCACCCCGUGCUUCUGUGUCACAUUUUGGUAAUUCUCACAUUUUUAACCCUCCACCAGCAAGAAAGGCAUGACUCACUGAAGGCCCAGAUGAUGGUUCGCAUUUUUUAGAGAUAACAAAUUUUUUAACUAAUGCAUGUGCACUUUUUAGACAUAAUGCUGUUAUGCACUUAAUAGAUUAUGGUAUAAAUGUGGCUUUUACAUAGGCCGGGAAACCACAGAAUCUGUGUGCCUCGUUUUGUCAUGGCAUUCACUUUACUGCAGUGGCCGGAGCCUGACCCGUGGCGCCCUGCAGCCCACCUGUGCUCUCCCCACUGGCCUGUUCUGUUUGAGAAGGUGCGGGGAGGCCAGCCAACCAACGUGCAGACACUGCUCACGUUGCUCAUGAACUGGAGCCAGACCCCGGGUGGCAAGGUGGCUUCUGCAUUUCCAUCUUUCCCGUCACGCCAGGAAGAUCUCCUCAUCAUCCUUAUCGCUUCAUCAUUUCUGUAGCCAGGAGUCAGGAACCAUCGAUUUACUUCCAUCAGAUGUGAGUCACCUCACCCACAAGAUGCCCGUGUCCACCGACUUUCUGGUGAGUCGGUAAGGGAUGGUGUUUUCAUUUGAGCUGACAGAGUUGCUUCCCCGAGGCUGUGGUUUAUCCGCUCUGACACUCUAUACAGGAACACGGAACUGAGCGAUUACACGAGAGGGUAAGAAGAGGGGCUGGGAAGACCCACGUGGCCCUGGGCAACAGCUGGGGACAAUGAGACGAACUCGUGUUAGCAGACACAAACACAGGCGCGUGAAAACGGCGGUGGAUGUGCUGAUGCAGGGCCACCUCUGUUGUCUGCGAAGGCCCGCAGCAGUGAGCGUGCCCAGCUCCAGACCUUGGUUUCUAAGAUCGUUUUCCAACAAAGGAACCAGGGCUCCUUGGAGAAAUGGCUGCCUUUAGGGCUGGGAGGAAACAUACUAAAUAAACCUGGAGAGCCUGUACUGCUGGAAAGGAAGUGUUGGGAAAAAAGAAAAAAGAACUAGGGGGUGGGGGCCCAGGGCCAAGAGCUGGAGCCAGGGGUGCUGGACUGUAACCUGAAAUGGAAAGUCACACUCCCAGAAAUAAGUGGCUGCUCACGUAAAUGGAAUUCUUCAUGCAGGAGAAUUCCAAAUGAUUUACAGAGAAAAAGCAGGAGCAUGGCUCCCCUCAUGGAAGGCGCAGGAGGGUCCCUGGCUGCCCAGGUCCUGGGGCACAUGGUGCUGCUGGGGUGGCUCACGGGGGCUGACGAGCCCCAUGGCUUCACUUCAGCAACUGGGGGUCGGGGCGGCCACUACCCAGGGUCUUCUGUCCACGCGGCCUCUUCCCACCACGUGACCUGUCGCUUGGCCGCCUACGCCAGGCUUCCUUCCACUGAUAGAAGCUGCCAGAACCCUUGCGGCCAGAGCUUGGAAGCAUCUGCCUCUUUCUACUGGAAGACAGGGAGUUCCACUGACAUGCUCAGAGAAUGUUCCCGGUCAUACAACCCAAGAAUCUAAUCACAUUCUCGGCAAGUGAGAGACCCUGGGACUUGGUCUCUGCACCCUCCACGGCUGCCCAGUGGACUUCAAUACAAUUGUGUUUCAACCCAGUGCAGUGAAAGGUUCACCCCUGGGAAGCUCACAUUGUCCCACCUUCGGAAAGCGAAACUUCCAAGCGGGCCCGAGCCCUGCGAGCUGGCCGCAGCCUCUGACAUGGAGACGGGGACCCUCCUGCCCGCCCUGCCAUGCCUCACAUGUCAGGACUGCAGGAAACUAUGGAGGACGGGCUCUUGCAAAGUAAGGGGAAGAAAACGGAAGGAUCAGGGAAGGAGAGAGUGUCUGCGGGAUGCCCCAGGAACAAAGCUGAGCCCAAGUGCGGCGGGCCUGCCGCUGCUGGACAAGCAGGAAGUCCAGGAAGAGACUCUGUCCUGAGAUGAGCAAACCUCGGAUGCUCCUGCGAGCCGGGCUGAGAACUUGGUGCUGAAACCGUGACGAGGGCACAGAGAACCAGAGCAACCGGAGAGAAGAGAGAAAACCAGGGAAAACAACAUGCAGAGGGAAAGAAAAGCAGCGACAGCUGCCAGCCCGUCCGUGGUCAGUCAUGUAAACAGACUUUCACACACCCCGACUCACGGGCCGCCAGGUCAGAGGAGGGAUGGAGGGGGCAGCACAAGAGAGGCCAACAGGUAACACCUGCAAUGAAAACAAAACGCAGGGACAUGAGAAUUGUAUUUGAUUAGCAAGUGUGAACUCAGUCUAAUGGAUUGGAAAUAGUAUUUUUUAAUGAAGUAGACCAGAAAACACCUGAGAUGACUGCACUGAAGAGAGGUAUGUAUUUUUUUUUAAUUUUUCAAGUGUGGGUAGUGAUACAUAAAAUGUAUUUCUUAUUUUGAGUUUUGGUCAAAAAGUCCAAAAUCCUCCAAUUUAGAGAUAUUGUAAUACCAAAAGAAUCAUCUGAAAGGGCUGAGACUGCCUCUGGGAAGGUGGUGUGGGGAGGAGAGACUAGCUUUUUUU